CGUGGGUAACCUGCCCAAGAGAUCGGGAUAACACCUUGAAACAGAUGCUAAUACCGGAUAACAACAGAUGAUGCCUAUCAACUGUUUAAAAGAUGGUUCUGCUAUCACUCUUGGAUGGACCUGCGGUGCAUUAGCUAGUUGGUAGGGUAACGGCCUACCAAGGCGAUGAUGCAUAGCCGAGUUGAGAGACUGAUCGGCCACAUUGGGACUGAGACACGGCCCAAACUCCUACGGGAGGCAGCAGGG
Molecule: ribosomal RNA, 246 nt
Filed under: uncultured Lactobacillus sp.
Lineage: Bacteria; Bacillati; Bacillota; Bacilli; Lactobacillales; Lactobacillaceae
Description: partial 16S ribosomal RNA
Rfam family: Bacterial small subunit ribosomal RNA
Source: RNAcentral